Molecule: ribosomal RNA, 437 nt
Filed under: uncultured bacterium
Lineage: Bacteria
Description: bacterial SSU rRNA
Rfam family: Bacterial small subunit ribosomal RNA
Source: RNAcentral
AUGGGAACGCGAAGAACCUUACCUAGACUUGACAUCUCCUGAAUUACUCUGUAAUAGAGGAAGCCCUUCGGGGCGAGGAAGACAGGUGGUGCAUGGUUGUCGUCAGCUCGUGUCGUGAGAUGUUGGGUUAAGUCCCGCAACGAGCGCAACCCUUAUUACUAGUUGCUACCAUUAAGUUGAGCACUCUAGUGAGACUGCCCGGGUUAACCGGGAGGAAGGCGGGGAUGACGUCAAAUCAUCAUGCCCCUUAUGUCUAGGGCAACACACGUGCUACAAUGGUGAGUACAGAUAGAUGCGAUACCGCAAGGUGGAGCCAAACUCUAAAACUCAUCCCAGUUCGGAUUGUAGGCUGCAACUCGCCUACAUGAAGUUGGAGUUGCUAGUAAUCGCGAAUCAGAAUGUCGCGGUGAAUACGUUCCCGGGUCUUGUACACACCG